This is a long non-coding RNA of Paramormyrops kingsleyae, 637 nucleotides long. RefSeq lists it as uncharacterized. The record is from RefSeq and is a predicted model, not a curated record. NCBI's taxonomy places the organism in Eukaryota, Metazoa, Chordata, Actinopteri, Osteoglossiformes, Mormyridae.
CUUCUGCGAUAGCAAGCAUAGCUCAAAUUCAACUUUGUAAAAAAUAUUCUUUUGCUUUUCGUGGAUAAUUAAUGUAUAAUUUAAUUCCAGUUAAAUCUUUAGUUUUCUUUUCCAAAGACCAAUGAACUGCAAGUUAUGAGACCGUAAGGCACAUUGAAUUUCCAGAAGCAGGUAAGCCACUGACUAACGCACAUUGCGCCCGUUCUUACUUCCACUGUGCGUGUGACAGCGGCUAACCAGCUUUUUGGGGUAUCGGUCAGUCCGCCAGCGUGCGGCCCCAGAUGCACUCGUCCCCGCGUAAAGUGAAGCUGCCGCCCUGCCCGACACCUUACAUGCCUCGUCCGACGAGGAAAAGAAAACGUUCCAGUCUUGGGGGAAAAGAUCAAUCCGUCUUUAUUGACUCUGGUGAUAUUUUAUACCCUGAGACUGUUCCACUAGGGCCAUUUAAAACAGCAGUGGAUUUGUUGUAAUAUGUUGCUGUUAAGCAUUCCCCAACAUUUCUUUAUUUAUUGACCAUAUAUUUAAAAUAUAUCUCUGUAUUAUUUAAAUACAUGUUGACUUCUGUUGCCAUUUUGGCUGUUGUAUGUCUAGUGUUUCAGUGCUUGAAAUAAAGUGGUAUUAUUUGGUUUCAUUUUGA